Non-coding RNA from Stenodus leucichthys (inconnu), 54 nucleotides. The record is from Rfam. Lineage: Eukaryota; Metazoa; Chordata; Actinopteri; Salmoniformes; Salmonidae.
UGUGCACAGGACUGUAAGUCGCUUUGGAUAAAAGCGUCUGCUAAAUGGCAUAUU